AAAAUAUAAAUUAUUUAAAACUUUCAACAACGGAUCUCUUGGUUCCGGCAUCGAUGAAGAACGCAGCGAAAUGCGAUACGUAAUGUGAAUUGCAAAUUCAGUGAAUCAUCGAGUCUUUGAACGCACAUUGCGCCCCCUGGUAUUCCGGGGGGCAUGCCUGUCCGAGCGUCAUUGCUGCCCUCAAGCACGGCUUGUGUGUUGGGCCCCGUCCUCCGAUCCCGGGGGACGGGCCCGAAAGGCAGCGGCGGCACCGCGUCCGGUCCUCGAGCGUAUGGGGCUUUGUCACCCGCUCUGUAGGCCCGGCCGGCGCUUGCCGAUCAACCCAAAUUUUUAUCCAGGUUGACCUCGGAUCAGGUAGGGAUACCCGCUGAACUUAAGCAUAUCAAUAAGCGGAGGAAAAGAAACCAACAGGGAUUGCCCCAGUAACGGCGAGUGAAGCGGCAAGAGCUCAAAUUUGAAAGCUGGCUCCUUCGGGGUCCGCAUUGUAAUUUGUAGAGGAUGCUUCGGGAGCGGUCCCCAUCUAAGUGCCCUGGAACGGGACGUCAUAGAGGGUGAGAAUCCCGUAUGGGAUGGGGUGUCCGCGCCCGUGUGAAGCUCCUUCGACGAGUCGAGUUGUUUGGGAAUGCAGCUCUAAAUGGGUGGUAAAUUUCAUCUAAAGCUAAAUAUUGGCCGGAGACCGAUAGCGCACAAGUAGAGUGAUCGAAAGAUGAAAAGCACUUUGAAAAGAGAGUUAAAAAGCACGUGAAAUUGUUGAAAGGGAAGCGCUUGCGACCAGACUCGCUCGCGGGGUUCAGCCGGCAUUCGUGCCGGUGUACUUCCCCGCGGGCGGGCCAGCGUCGGUUUGGGCGGUCGGUCAAAGGCCCUCGGAAGGUAACGCCCCUAGGGGCGUCUUAUAGCCGAGGGUGCAAUGCGACCUGCCUAGACCGAGGAACGCGCU
This 937-nucleotide ribosomal RNA is filed under the name Eurotiomycetes sp. genotype 174. Its description in RNAcentral is "eukaryotic LSU rRNA". The stretch from base 341 to 937 matches the Rfam family "Eukaryotic large subunit ribosomal RNA", at positions 1 to 601 of the family's 3401-position model. Lineage: Eukaryota; Fungi; Ascomycota; Eurotiomycetes. The record is from RNAcentral.